RNAcentral lists this ribosomal RNA (253 nucleotides) under uncultured bacterium. RNAcentral's name for it is "partial 16S ribosomal RNA". It matches the Rfam family "Bacterial small subunit ribosomal RNA", at positions 524 to 776 of the family's 1533-position model. The record is from RNAcentral.
UACGGGGGGGGCAAGCGUUGUUCGGAAUUACUGGGCGUAAAGAGCGUGUAGGCGGCCAAGCAGGUCCGUUGUGAAAACUGGAGGCUUAACCUCCAGACGUCGACGGAAACCGCGUGGCUAGAGUCCGGAAGAGGAGAGUGGAAUUCCUGGUGUAGCGGUGAAAUGCGCAGAUAUCAGGAAGAACACCCGUGGCGAAGGCGGCUCUCUGGGACGGUACUGACGCUGAGACGCGAAAGCGUGGGGAGCGAACAGG